GACGUAGGGGGCCAGCGUUGUUCGGAAUUACUGGGUGUAAAGGGUUCGUAGGCGGUGUGGCAAGUCGGGAGUGAAAUCUCUGGGCUCAACCCAGAGACUGCUUCCGAAACUGCUGUGCUUGAGUGUGAGAGAGGCUCGUGGAAUUGCAGGUGUAGCGGUGAAAUGCGUAGAUAUCUGCAGGAACACCCGUGGCGAAAGCGGCGAGCUGGAUCACUACUGACGCUGAGACACGAAAGCGUGGGUAGCAAACAGG
RNAcentral lists this ribosomal RNA (253 nucleotides) under uncultured bacterium. RNAcentral's name for it is "partial 16S ribosomal RNA". It matches the Rfam family "Bacterial small subunit ribosomal RNA", at positions 524 to 776 of the family's 1533-position model. The record is from RNAcentral.